This 267-nucleotide ribosomal RNA is filed under the name uncultured bacterium. Its description in RNAcentral is "partial 16S ribosomal RNA". It matches the Rfam family "Bacterial small subunit ribosomal RNA", at positions 86 to 354 of the family's 1533-position model. The record is from RNAcentral.
UAUGAGUUAGUGGCGGACGGGUGAGUAACACGUAUCCAACCUGCCGAUGACUCGGGGAUAGCCUUUCGAAAGAAAGAUUAAUACCCGAUGGCAUAGUUCUUCCGCAUGGUAGAACUAUUAAAGAAUUUCGGUCAUCGAUGGGGAUGCGUUCCAUUAGCUUGUUGGCGGGGUAACGGCCCACCAAGGCAUCGAUGGAUAGGGGUUCUGAGAGGAAGGUCCCCCACAUUGGAACUGAGACACGGUCCAAACUCCUACGGAAGGCAGCAG